ACGGACUCUGAGAAUUUAUUGACUCGUAUUCCUGAAAAUCAUGCAAAUAUUUCCUGUCAGAGUGAAGAUGAGAUCAACGGAUUUCCAUGAACGAUGCAAACACAGCUCAGUUUAAACAGGAAGCAGCGUCUCCGGUUCUGGUCGGAUCCGUUCAUUUUUAUUUGUCAAUUAAAAACACAAAUUUCUUUGUCAAUAUUUCAUUUUUGUAAAUUAACGGUAGUAAAAUAAGUAAACGUUGGUGCUGCAGAGUCUCGGUUCUUUGCUUCAAUAAAGAAUCGUUUUCAGGUUCUGGACUUUUCGGGUCGAAUAUUUUCGGUUCUAUUGGUCUGCAAACAAAAUUAUAAUUUCAGCAAUAAAAACUAAACCCUUUACUGCAUUUAUGACUUAAUAAAUGCGUUAUAAAACUUUAAAACUUAAACUUCCCCAAACUUUGCGUUUUGUGUCAAAGCACUGAUGAACACUUAUUACCCUGAAAUACCCCACAGUGGGGCAAUAAACACAUUUCUAUUCUAUUUUUAAAAAAUGUAACUGAUCCCAAAGAGAGAUUAACUGAAAUAUUGCUGUAAUUCAUUUUAUUUUCUGUGAAGAGUUUUUGUUGCACAACGGAAGGAUCUCUCCUGUAGCAGUCUGCAUCACAGCAGUUCUGAAGAAGCUUCUGACUGAAGACAAUCUGCGGUUCUAAAACAGUUCUGGAGGAUUUCUCUGUAGAAAAAACUGUCAACACACAGGCUGGUGCUGCCACCUGCUGGAGGUUUCAUCACACUGCAGCUAAGUAGCAUGAAUGUAAAACAAUCUUAAAUAUUUAAAUAGGGAAAUGUUUUAUGAUCAGAGUGUGACGUCAUCGUGGAGGAGCCAAUCAGCUGAUCUGCUGCUGCCUUCAGGUUCUCCCUGUGGUCCAGGAUUCUGAAACUUCUCUGGUCCGGCUGAAUAAAACCGACCAGAACCGCUGGAUCUAUUUCUAUUUUCGGGUUUUAAAAUAAAGAAAAGUUUGUUUUCAACCUGAUAAAAAUAUCUGAAAUUAUAAUUCUGAUUCUUCCUGCUUCGCUCUGUUGUGGAAAUUCAACUAAUUUAUUCCAGCAAAAACUGAAAACUGCUAAAUUUGUUAGUAAGAACCAUCAUUGGCCAAUUAACCAAUUUAUUAUUAUAUCUAUAUUUAACACUUCAGUUGAAGAAGCUGCACCUGGUUCUGUGGUUCUGGUUCUGUCCGCUCUAAACUCUGAUCCUGGUUCUGCUGGAGGUUUCUUCCUGUUUUCCUCUCCACUGUCGCCCUGUGCAUGAUCUGCAGCGCCUCGUCCAGCCGGGUUUCCUGCUGACCGUCAGAAUAACGAGCGGCUCCGCUUCAGAACCACCUGGAACCUGAUGACGUCAUCAUGAUGACAACAGAAGCAGGCAGCUUGGCUCCGUUUCCUCAAAGCUUUAUUUGUCCCGAACAGGAAGCAGCCGCAGGUUUGACAUUUACAGGGGCGGCUUAAAUAACAACAGAAACACACACACACACAUACGCACACACACACACACACACACACACACAGGCUCCCCCCACCCCCCCACACACGG
Long non-coding RNA from Xiphophorus hellerii (green swordtail), 1557 nucleotides. RefSeq lists it as uncharacterized. NCBI's taxonomy places the organism in Eukaryota, Metazoa, Chordata, Actinopteri, Cyprinodontiformes, Poeciliidae. The transcript is spliced from 2 exons. The record is from RefSeq and is a predicted model, not a curated record.